This 607-nucleotide long non-coding RNA is filed under the name Physcomitrium patens. Its description in RNAcentral is "long non-coding RNA (PPAT_LNC000023)". Lineage: Eukaryota; Viridiplantae; Streptophyta; Bryopsida; Funariales; Funariaceae. The record is from RNAcentral.
GUUAGGAUUUGAUUUAGGAUUUGGUUAAAGGUUUGAUUUAGGGUUUAGGAUUUAGGAUUUGGAUUAGGAUUUAUUUUAGGAUUAGGAUUCGAUUAGGAUUUGAUUUAGGAUUUAGGGUUUAGAUUAGGGUUUGAUUUAAGGUUUAGAAUUUGGUUAGGAUUUGAUUUAGGAUUUAGGAUUUGGAUUAGGAUUUCAUUUAGGAUUUAAGAUUUUUUUAGGAUUUAAUUUAGUAUUUAGGAUUUGAUUUGGAUUUUAUUUAGGAUUUAAGAUUUGAUUAGGAUUUAAUUUAGGAUUUGGUUUAGGAUUUAGGAUUUAGUGUUUAGAUUGUAGGAUUUAAGGUUUGGAUUUAGGAUUUGAUUAAGAUUUGGUUUAGGAUUUUAUUAGGAUUUAUUUAGGAUUUAAGAUUUAAUUAAUUUGAGUCUAAAGUUUGAAUGAAGUCCAAUAGGAUUUUAACUAGGAUUAAAUUAAGAUUGAAUUGAGAUAUAUUUGAGAGAUAUUUGAGAGAUAUUUGUGAUUAUUCUAAUAUUUCUUUAAGAUUUCUUAUUAUUUCUUUGAAAUUCCUUUGAGGUUUUUUUGAAUUUUAUUAAGCUUGCUUAGCAUUAUUAUG